Oryza punctata is the source of this 195-nucleotide non-coding RNA. NCBI's taxonomy places the organism in Eukaryota, Viridiplantae, Streptophyta, Magnoliopsida, Poales, Poaceae. The record is from Rfam.
AAUAAGUUCAUUUAUGGGAUUCUGUGUCCAACGUUUGACCGUCCGUUUUAUUUGAAAUUUUUUUAUGAUUAGUAUUUUUAAUAUUAUUAGAUGAUAAAACAUGAAUAGUACUUUAUGCAUGACUUAUUUUUUUAAUUUUUUCAAAUAAGACAGACGGUCAAACGUUGGACACAGAAACCCACAAAUGAACUUAUU